RNAcentral lists this ribosomal RNA (372 nucleotides) under uncultured organism. RNAcentral's name for it is "bacterial SSU rRNA". It matches the Rfam family "Bacterial small subunit ribosomal RNA", at positions 526 to 896 of the family's 1533-position model. The record is from RNAcentral.
CGUAGGAGGCAAGCGUUAUCCGGAUUCACUGGGCGUAAAGCGCGUGCAGGCGGUGCGGUAAGUUAGGCGUGAAAUCUCCCGGCUCAACUGGGAGAGGUCGUCUAAUACUACCGUACUAGAGAGCAGGAGAGGAAGAUGGAAUUCCCGGUGUAGUGGUGAAAUGCGUAGAUAUCGGGAGGAACACCAGUGGCGAAGGCGAUCUUCUGGUCUGUUUCUGACGCUCAGACGCGACAGCUAGGGUAGUAAACGGGAUUAGAGACCCCGGUAAUCCUAGCCGUAAACGAUGUGAACUUGGCGUUGGUGGGUUAAACUCCAUCAGUGCCGCAGCAAACGCGAUAAGUUCACCGCCUGGGGACUACGGCCGCAAGGUUA